This 453-nucleotide ribosomal RNA is filed under the name uncultured bacterium. RNAcentral's name for it is "bacterial SSU rRNA". It matches the Rfam family "Bacterial small subunit ribosomal RNA", at positions 340 to 786 of the family's 1533-position model. The record is from RNAcentral.
UACGGGAGGCAGCAGUGGGGAAUAUUGCACAAUGGGCGCAAGCCUGAUGCAGCCAUGCCGCGUGUAUGAAGAAGGCCUUCGGGUUGUAAAGUACUUUCAGUCGUGAGGAAGGUGUUAAGGUUAAUAACCUUAGCAAUUGACGUUAGCGACAGAAGAAGCACCGGCUAACUCCGUGCCAGCAGCCGCGGUAAUACGGAGGGUGCGAGCGUUAAUCGGAAUUACUGGGCGUAAAGGGCACGCAGGCGGUUAAUUAAGUUGGAUGUGAAAUCCCCGGGCUUAACCUGGGAAUGGCAUUCAAGCUGGUUAGCUAGAGUCUUGUAGAGGGGGUAGAAUUCCAUGUGUAGCGGUGAAAUGCGUAGAGAUGUGGAGGAAUACCGGUGGCGAAGGCGGCCCCUGGGCAAAGGCUGACGCUCAUGUGCGAAAGCGUGGGGAGCGAAACAGGGAUUAGAUACC